CCUACGGGAGGCAGCAGUGGGGAAUAUUGGGCAAUGGGCGCAAGCCUGACCCAGCAAUGCCGCGUGAAGGAAGAAGGCUUUCGGGUUGUAAACUUCUUUGACAGGGGAAGAGCAGAAGACGGUACCCUGAAAACAAGCCACGGCUAACUACGUGCCAGCAGCCGCGGUAAUACGUCGGUGGCAAGCGUUGUCCGGAUUUAUUGGGUGUAAAGGGUGCGUAGGCGGAUCGUUAAGUCAGUGGUCAAAUUGAGGGGCUCAACCCCUUCCCGCCAUUGAAACUGGCGUUCUUGAGUGGAAGAGAAGUAUGCGGAAUGCGUGGUGUAGCGGUGAAAUGCAUAGAUAUCACGCAGAACCCAGAGUGCGAGGCAGCAUGCCGGCUUCCGACUGACGCUGAAGCACGAAAGCGUGGGGAUCGAACAGGAUUAGAUACCCCGGUAGUC
This 440-nucleotide ribosomal RNA is filed under the name uncultured bacterium. RNAcentral describes it as "partial 16S ribosomal RNA". It matches the Rfam family "Bacterial small subunit ribosomal RNA", at positions 338 to 795 of the family's 1533-position model. The record is from RNAcentral.